RNAcentral lists this ribosomal RNA (207 nucleotides) under uncultured bacterium. RNAcentral describes it as "partial 16S ribosomal RNA". It matches the Rfam family "Bacterial small subunit ribosomal RNA", at positions 568 to 774 of the family's 1533-position model. The record is from RNAcentral.
CACGUAGGCGGAUGUGCCAGUCAGGGGUGAAAUCCCGGAGCUCAACUCCGGAACUGCCUCUGAUACAGCACGUCUUGAGUUCGAGAGAGGUGGGUGGAAUUCCUAGUGUAGAGGUGAAAUUCGUAGAUAUUAGGAAGAACACCGGUGGCGAAGGCGGCCCACUGGCUCGAUACUGACGCUGAGGUGCGAAAGCGUGGGGAGCAAACA